This is a long non-coding RNA of Dama dama (fallow deer), 1123 nucleotides long. RefSeq lists it as uncharacterized. The transcript has 6 exons. Lineage: Eukaryota; Metazoa; Chordata; Mammalia; Artiodactyla; Cervidae. The record is from RefSeq and is a predicted model, not a curated record.
CUCCGGGGCUGCCAAAGGCUGGCGCGCUGGCCGCGCUCCGCUCGGGCGAGCUGGCUGAGCGGGGCCGAGAGGUGAUCAAUACAAGUGGAAAGUGCUGCGGCGGCGGCGGCAGCGCUCGGUGCCAGGCGGCAUCUGGGCUCCAGACAGCCCCAGACAGCCGUGGUUCAGUUCACCAUGUAACUGGAUAUAAUUUAAUGGAGUUAAUUGGUCCCGGAAGCUGCCUGUAGAAGACUUUUACAUUCUAGCUCAACAAGAGAUAAUACUAAAAUGUACAAAUAGGAUAAGUAAGAAAGCACACCUUCAAGUUGAAGUGGUUGCACAUCUAAUAAAGGUAUUGCAGAGCAGUGGAGAAAGAAUGAGCUUUUCAAUAAAUGGUUUUGGGUCAACUGGCUGUCCAUAUGGAAAAAUGAAAUUGGAAUCCUGUUUCACAAAAGGAGAAGAAAGAAGUACCCUAUGGACUGUAGCCCACCAGGCUUCUCUGUCUACGGGAUUCUGCAAGCAAGAAUAGUGAAAUGAGUUGCUUACGUCCUCCUCCAGGGUAUCAUCCCAACCCAGGAAUAGAAACCAUGUCUCCUGCAGCUCCUGCAUUGUAGAUGGAUUCUUUACCCCUGAGCCACUGGAGAAAUGUACAGGAAUGUUCAUCAUAUACUGAAAAUAACGCCAAUGUCUGCCACCUGUAGAAUGGAUAAAAAAGGCUGUGGUACAUGCCUACAACGGAACAUUUUGCAGCACUGAAAAUGAAUACGCUACAGUUAAAAACAGCAACACGGAUCAUCAUGCAAUUGAUGUCGCAAGAAGGUCGUGUCUUCAUAUUUGGGCUCCUCCAAGUGGCUCAGCGGUAAAGAACCUGCCUGCAAUGCAGGAGUCGCAGGAGCCACGGGUUCGAUCCCUGGGUCGGGAAGAUCUCCUGGAGGAGGGCAUGGCUAUCCACUCCAGUAUUCUUGCCUGGAGAAUCCCAUGGACAGAGGAGCCUGGCGAGCUACCGUCCAUAGCGUCACAAAGAAUUGGAAACAACUGAAGUGAUUUAGCACACAUGCACUUCAUAUUUAUGAAAAAUGGUUACUAUCACUUUGGCAGACUGUCUUUUCCCAUGAAUAAUAUCAAUAAAACCCUCACGACAGAG